GCCGCCAUAGCUCAGUGGUAGAGCGCACCCUUGGUAAGGGUGAGGUCCUGUGUUCAAUCCACAGUGGCGGCACCA
This 75-nucleotide transfer RNA is filed under the name Alphaproteobacteria bacterium. RNAcentral's name for it is "tRNA-Thr". It matches the Rfam family "tRNA". Rfam says of the family: Transfer RNA (tRNA) molecules are approximately 80 nucleotides in length. Their secondary structure includes four short double-helical elements and three loops (D, anti-codon, and T loops). Lineage: Bacteria; Pseudomonadati; Pseudomonadota; Alphaproteobacteria. The record is from RNAcentral.